This 495-nucleotide ribosomal RNA is filed under the name uncultured bacterium. Its description in RNAcentral is "bacterial SSU rRNA". It matches the Rfam family "Bacterial small subunit ribosomal RNA", at positions 15 to 507 of the family's 1533-position model. The record is from RNAcentral.
GAUCAUGGCUCAGGAUGAACGCUGGCGGCGUGCUUAACACAUGCAAGUCGAACGAAGCACUUUAUUUGAUUUCUUCGGAAAUGAAGAUUCUGUGACUGAGUGGCGGACGGGUGAGUAACGCGUGGAUAACCUGCCUCAUACAGGGGGAUAACAGCCGGAAACGGCUGCUAAUACCGCAUAAGCGCACGGUACCGCAUGGUACAGUGUGAAAAACUCCGGUGGUAUGGGAUGGAUCCGCGUCUGAUUAGCCAGUUGGCGGGGUAACGGCCCACCAAAGCGACGAUCAGUAGCCGACCUGAGAGGGUGACCGGCCACAUUGGGACUGAGACACGGCCCAAACUCCUACGGGAGGCAGCAGUGGGGAAUAUUGCACAAUGGGGGAAACCCUGAUGCAGCGACGCCGCGUGAGCGAAGAAGUAUUUCGGUAUGUAAAGCUCUAUCAGCAGGGAAGAAGAAAUGACGGUACCUGACUAAGAAGCCCCGGCUAACUACGUG